Molecule: long non-coding RNA, 641 nt
Organism: Magnolia sinica
Lineage: Eukaryota; Viridiplantae; Streptophyta; Magnoliopsida; Magnoliales; Magnoliaceae
Exons: 4
Source: RefSeq, a predicted model, not a curated record
AAUAGUCGAAAUGGAUGAACCAAAUACAUCAUGGUGGGCCCCAUGGAGCCCCCGCCCGGACUGUCCAUGGUCCAUCACACCCAAAAACUGGGUGCGCUCUCAAAAACACAGCCGCGCCGAGAGUGCGCCCAAAACUUUUCAUCUCUCUCUCUCCCUCUUCGUUCCCUACCCUAUUUUCCACUGCUCUCCCCGCCCCUGACUCUCUCUCUCUCUCUCUCUCUCUCUCUCUCUCUCUCUCUCUCUCGUGCGUGCGUGGGGCAUUGAAUGUUGGAUCUAGCAUGGCGUCGGCACUGAGAAGUGAAGCAUCUCUCUCUAUCUCUGUAGCAGAUCUCGAAAGGUUGGCAUGUCUAUUCGUGUAGAGAUGACUAUGGAGGGGAUUGCAAACCUCUAAGGCCUUGUGCCUGGGUAAUUGAUUAUGGAGUUCAUAAGCUUUGGAAAUACAAUAAUGUUGGGGAGGGGUCUCGCCCCUAUAUUUGACAAUAUGAACAGGGGAUGUACAAUCCACACACAUUCAGGUGGGCACCACAAGAAUGUCGGGCCUCAUAAUCAGGUAACUCAUGCUGCAAUGGAAUUCUUCACAGCAAUUACUGGGAUCUCCUUGAACUUUGUUUGAUAUGCUCUUCCUACAAACUAGGACUUUC